AUGGGUACCUAUGCUUGCAACUCUAUCUUCAGCUCGCCACCAUUUCCCCUUGUCUCUGUCCCGCAAACAUCUCCAAAAGGACGAGGGACUUUGACACACCAGAAAGCAAACCAGCGUUUGACUGAAGAAGUUCUGGACGUGAAUAGCUCUCCAAAGAUUUUGACGGCAGGUGGCAGGGAUACAUCUUUGCAGUUUGGCAGCACAGCGAUGCAGCGAGUCACGCUGCCGCCUCACAGCCCCUGGGUGGUGCAAGAAAAAAUGGGGUUUGUCCAGCUGCUCUGGAUUCCCUCCACAGUCCAAAGACAUGCAGUUCAGGUGAACUGGUGUCUCUAAAUUCCCUUUAGGGUCUGUGUGUAUGUGUGGCUACCCUACGAUGGACUGAUGUCCCGCUCCGAGUGUACCCCCCUCAGCCUUGCGUCCAGUGCUUCUGGGAUAGGCUUCGGAUCACCGCGACCCUGCCCAGGACAAAGCGGUUCUGAAAUUGGAUGGAUGGAUCUUUGUGGUUAUGACUUAAUUCUGGCACGUCUCAGGGAUUGCAUGGGUUAAGUGUACGACUUCUUACCGUGCAAAAGUAAAUGCAGCUCUCCAUUAAGGUUCAGUUUGUCUGGGGUGGAAAACACAAAAUUGCCAAAUUUUUAUUUGUGAAGACAUACUGUGUUGACCCUUGUUAAAAUAAGAAAUGCUGAUGUAAAUUGCACAUUAAAAGUAACUUACCACGGGACAGCAGGUAGUGUGGUGGUUAGAGCUGCUGCCUUUGGACCCACAGGUUCAGAUCUCACCUCUGACUAUGACACUCAUGAAUAAAGUGCUCUGAUAAAAUUCCCCA
Molecule: long non-coding RNA, 826 nt
Filed under: Scleropages formosus (Asian bonytongue)
Lineage: Eukaryota; Metazoa; Chordata; Actinopteri; Osteoglossiformes; Osteoglossidae
Description: lncRNA (ENSSFOG00015026461.1)
Source: RNAcentral